Molecule: transfer RNA, 74 nt
Filed under: Paratilapia polleni (Pollen's cichlid)
Lineage: Eukaryota; Metazoa; Chordata; Actinopteri; Cichliformes; Cichlidae
Description: tRNA-Leu (UUR)
Rfam family: tRNA
About the family: Transfer RNA (tRNA) molecules are approximately 80 nucleotides in length. Their secondary structure includes four short double-helical elements and three loops (D, anti-codon, and T loops).
Source: RNAcentral
GUUAAGGUGGCAGAGCCCGGCAAUUGCAAAAGACCUAAGUCCUUUCCACGGAGGUUCAACUCCUCCCCCUAACU